RNAcentral lists this ribosomal RNA (513 nucleotides) under uncultured bacterium. Its description in RNAcentral is "partial 16S ribosomal RNA". It matches the Rfam family "Bacterial small subunit ribosomal RNA", at positions 28 to 523 of the family's 1533-position model. The record is from RNAcentral.
GACGAACGCUGGCGGCGUGCCUAAUACAUGCAAGUUGAGCGCUGAAGGUUGGUACUUGUACCGACUGGAUGAGCAGCGAACGGGUGAGUAACGCGUGGGGAAUCUGCCUUUGAGCGGGGGACAACAUUUGGAAACGAAUGCUAAUACCGCAUAAAAACUUUAAACACAAGUUUUAAGUUUGAAAGAUGCAAUUGCAUCACUCAAAGAUGAUCCCGGGUUGUAUUAGCUAGUUGGUGAGGUAAAGGCUCACAAAGGCGAUGAUACAUAGCCGACCUGAGAGGGUGAUCGGCCACAUUGGGACUGAGACACGGCCCAAACUCCUACGGGAGGCAGCAGUAGGGAAUCUUCGGCAAUGGACGAAAGUCUGACCGAGCAACGCCGCGUGAGUGAAGAAGGUUUUCGGAUCGUAAAACUCUGUUGGUAGAGAAGAACGUUGGUGAGAGUGGAAAGCUCAUCAAGUGACGGUAACUACCCAGAAAGGGACGGCUAACUACGUGCCAGCCGCCGCAGUAA